RNAcentral lists this long non-coding RNA (2264 nucleotides) under Marmota monax (woodchuck). Lineage: Eukaryota; Metazoa; Chordata; Mammalia; Rodentia; Sciuridae. The record is from RNAcentral.
GUGGACUUCUCUCCUUUCUGGGGUCAUUCUGGCCCCUGAGCCACCCUCCAGUCCCUGGGUCCCCUAACACCAGGUUGACUUCCUGGACUCCACAGAACAUGUCCCCGUCCAUGGUCUCACCUAGAGCAGCCCUCUGGUUGCCACCUCACAGAUAUUACCUGUGACAUGCAGGAUGUGGUGGAAAGAAUCUUUAAAGAUCUGUGUGAAAUACAAUUAGCAAACUAAGACCAAAAACAACCAUGAGAGUUACAGAGGUCUUGACCAGAGUGGCUCAGGUAUGAGGAGGUGUGGCCCAGGAUAUUUUCAAUGAACCUCAUUUUUUAAAAAAAUAUUUUUUUAGUUGUAUGGACACAAUAUCUUUAUUUUGUUUGUUUAUUUUUAUGUGGUGCUGAGGAUCAAACCCAGUGCCUCACACAACCCCAUCCCUGAACCUCAUUUUUAAUAAGUGUCAAUACAGUGUUUAGUAAGUGUUGAUUCUAUUUCAUUUGGUAUUCAGAUCUUUUAACAAUGAUUUAUUCAACUACCAGAGAAGGCAUAAUGUCUUUGUAUGUGUAGGUUGCAGUGCUGGUGAUUCAACCCAGGACCUCACAUGUAAAAGGUAGGUUUUCUACUACUGAGCUACAUUCCUUUGUAUUUUUUUCAUUUUGACACAGAGUUCUCUAAGUUGCCUAGACUGGCCUCAAGCUUGUGAUCCUCCUGCCUCAGUCUCCCAGGUUGUUAGGAUUACAUACAGGUGUGUGCCACCUCACCUGGCUGUAUCAAGUGUUUUUCUGAACACACAGUGGGUUCUCUGACUUCUAAUUAGAACAAUAACAACAUGGAUUCCUGAGUGUGCUGGAACCCCAGCUGCUCUGCUCUGAAGAGAGCUCAAGUUCGUCUCCAGUAUCCGGCCACUGAACUUUAGCAACAGCACUGUGGGUUAUUCAUUUAUUCAUUUGUUGGAGAUGAGAUCUUGUAUGUUGCCCAGGCUAGUCUUGAACUUAUGCACUCAAGGGAUCCUCCUGCCUCAGCCUCAGAGGAGCUGGAACUAGAGGUGCCCACCACCAUAUCCGGUGUCACUGAGGAAUUUUCAACUGAAAGCCACCUGUACAUUUUUCCAUGAAACUUUUAAAUUUAAAACUUUAAAAAAUCAUAUUAGAUCCUGAUAAACUAGUAUGAUGCCAAGACUGCAUGUCCCAUAGUGGCAUUUUAUAUUUGUAUGAAAAAAAAAAUUAGAUGUUAAACCAAAGCAUCUGGAAAAUGCAUCUCAGUUCAGCUGCAAUGAGCCUAUUUUUAGAUCAACCAUGCUAAUAAUUUUGUUUCUCAGUAAUGUGAAGAAAUAUCUACUAUCUACAUCUAGUAAUUUUAAUAACUUUGGGUGCUUUGGCAGGACAGUGAGAAAGCUUUUCCAGUGGUGUGUUUUCAUUAAACAAAACCCUGCAUGUAGGAUGGCCCCUGUGUCUACUGCAUUCCAGCCAGAAGUGACAGGUGUGCUCCUCUUCACAAAAAUCUGUGGCCCUUGUGUUGUUCCAGACAUUAUUCAUGUCUAGAAAUUAUUGAAGCAAUCUGUGAUUGCUGCUUCUGGUUUUUAACCCCCAUUCAAGGGAGGUGAGGACUUUUCUUCCAGAAUAACCCAAGGCAAAAAUCCCACAUUUUGUGUGGCAGAAAUAUGGAGGAGGCUCUGUACUGGGGAGCAGGGUGCUGGUGCAGCACCCUACUGUGGGAGGGUGGCCGCCGUUAGCUCAUGAUCCCACCCCUGCUCAGAGCACCAUGAGGUGUGUUCAGAUGGGCUGAGUGGCUGGCAUAUAUCUUGCAAACUAACGCUCUAGAAGUUCACUUUCCAAAAUCACUACCCAUGUUGUGAUAUGAGGAUUCUGCUCAAUUUUCUUAGAAUAAUGGACACAUUCUUACGCAUAGUAUAACAGCGUCCAUUUUAUGCUUUGAAUAUAGCCCUUGCUGCUCUGCUACUUCAACUUAUUUUUAAAAUGGGCAUGUUUCUUUCUCUUCCUCUCUCCCUACUCCCCCAUAAUCUCAGGGGAAACAGGAUUACCUUUAUUCCCCACUUUAGGCAGAUUUAUCUUUCCUUGAGUACUCACCCACUGUAGGAACGAAGUCAUCCAGACUUUGGGGAUGGUUCCAGAAGAUCUCAGAAAUGACCAUCUCCCACAAAUGAAUUAUGACUCCAACAGAGAACACGUGGAGUGUAGCUUUUGAAUCACCUCUAUAAAUGUCCCUUGUUCCUGCUGGUGAGAAGAACCACAGGAGUCCUCUGUGUUUCUCCUUUG